RNAcentral lists this ribosomal RNA (492 nucleotides) under uncultured bacterium. Its description in RNAcentral is "partial 16S ribosomal RNA". It matches the Rfam family "Bacterial small subunit ribosomal RNA", at positions 29 to 507 of the family's 1533-position model. The record is from RNAcentral.
AGUGAACGCUGGCGGUAGGCCUAACACAUGCAAGUCGAACGGCAGCACAGUAAGAGCUUGCUCUUACGGGUGGCGAGUGGCGGACGGGUGAGGAAUACAUCGGAAUCUACUUUUUCGUGGGGGAUAACGUAGGGAAACUUACGCUAAUACCGCAUACGACCUACGGGUGAAAGCAUGGGAUCUUCGGACCUUGCGCGAUUGAAUGAGCCGAUGUCGGAUUAGCUAGUUGGCGGGGUAAAGGCCCACCAAGGCGACGAUCCGUAGCUGGUCUGAGAGGAUGAUCAGCCACACUGGAACUGAGACACGGUCCAGACUCCUACGGGAGGCAGCAGUGGGGAAUAUUGGACAAUGGGCGCAGGCCUGAUCCAGCCAUACCGCGUGGGUGAAGAAGGCCUUCGGGUUGUAAAGCCCUUUUGUUGGGAAAGAAAAGCAGCAGGUUAAUACCCCGCUGUUCUGACGGUACCCAAAGAAUAAGCACCGGCUAACUUCGUG